AAUAAGUGAUGUUUUGCACUGUUCGUGUCCAAUGUUUAACCAUUAGUCUUAUUUGAAUUUUUUAUGGUUAAUAUUUUUAUUGUUAUUAUAUGAUAAAAUAUAAAUAGUAUUUUAUGUAUAACUAAUUAUUUUUAUUUUUUUCAUAAAUUUUUCAAAUAAGACGAAUGGUCAAACGUUGAACACGGAUAUCCACAGCUGCACUUAUU
Molecule: non-coding RNA, 206 nt
Organism: Oryza glumipatula
Lineage: Eukaryota; Viridiplantae; Streptophyta; Magnoliopsida; Poales; Poaceae
Source: Rfam